This 491-nucleotide ribosomal RNA is filed under the name uncultured bacterium. RNAcentral's name for it is "partial 16S ribosomal RNA". It matches the Rfam family "Bacterial small subunit ribosomal RNA", at positions 30 to 507 of the family's 1533-position model. The record is from RNAcentral.
AGUGAACGCUGGCGGUAGGCCUAACACAUGCAAGUCGAACGGCAGCACAGUAAGAGCUUGCUCUUACGGGUGGCGAGUGGCGGACGGGUGAGGAAUACAUCGGAAUCUACUUUUUCGUGGGGGUUAAGGAAGGGAAACUUAAUUAAAGACCGCAACGACCGCAGGGUGGAAGGGGGGGGACUUUUGGACCUGGCGGGAUUGAAUUAGCGGCUUCGGAUUUGGUUGGUGGGGGGGUAAAGGCCCAACAGGGCGACGAGUCGUAGCCGGGCUGAGGGGAUGGUCAGCCACACUGGAACUGAGACACGGUCCAGACUCCUACGGGAGGCAGCAGUGGGGAAUAUUGGACAAUGGGCGCAAGCCUGAUCCAGCCAUACCGCGUGGGUGAAGAAGGCCUUCGGGUUGUAAAGCCCUUUUGUUGGGAAAGAAAAGCAGCAGGUUAAUACGCCGCUGUUCUGACGGUACCCAAAGAAGAAGCACCGGCUAACUUCGUG